RNAcentral lists this long non-coding RNA (470 nucleotides) under Numida meleagris (helmeted guineafowl). RNAcentral describes it as "lncRNA (ENSNMEG00000021023.1)". Lineage: Eukaryota; Metazoa; Chordata; Aves; Galliformes; Numididae. The record is from RNAcentral.
GCUGCUGGAGCUAUUUCAGAACAGCACUUUUCUGACUGCAUCAGGAAAUGCAAGCUCCGGACCACUCUUGUAAUCUUUGCCUUAGGGGUAUCAGCGGUAGCGGAGUCUCUAAUGAAAAAAAAUAACUGAAACAACAACAAGAGAAAUGAGGAAAAUGAAGUUUUUCAGACAACAUGUCUUUUAUCUGUGCCUCCGCUGGGUGAGGAAGAAAGCUGUAUCAUCCUUGAACCCUCUGCCUGAUUGUGUGCGAUUCUGUCACAAUUCGUUUCUUCAUGAAUAGGAAAGGCUGUGUGAACAGCUAACUCGUGUUCCGCUUUGAUGUCGUACUGUUUGGGAAACCUCCUGAAGCUUCAGAGGCACUCUUCGGCAGAGCGGCACAGCCAGCCAGCACGGAGGGGAGGAGCACUUGGAUUUCUGUGAAACAAAUGUAUUUUGUUAUGCCAAGGAAUGGCAUUCAAGCAGAUAAAUAA